GGCUGCUUCUGAGUGUGGAUGGGCUUUGU
Molecule: non-coding RNA, 29 nt
Filed under: Rattus norvegicus (Norway rat)
Lineage: Eukaryota; Metazoa; Chordata; Mammalia; Rodentia; Muridae
Source: RNAcentral